UACGUAGGGGGCAAGCGUUGUCCGGAAUCAUUGGGCGUAAAGAGCGUGUAGGCGGCCCGGUAAGUCCGCUGUGAAAGUCCAGGGCUCAACCCUUGGAUGCCGGUGGAUACUGCAGGGCUAGAGUCCGGAAGAGGCGAGUGGAAUUCCUGGUGUAGCGGUGAAAUGCGCAGAUAUCAGGAGGAACACCGAUGGCGAAGGCAGCUCGCUGGGACGGUACUGACGCUGAGGCGCGAAAGCGUGGGGAGCAAACAGG
This 253-nucleotide ribosomal RNA is filed under the name uncultured bacterium. RNAcentral's name for it is "partial 16S ribosomal RNA". It matches the Rfam family "Bacterial small subunit ribosomal RNA", at positions 524 to 776 of the family's 1533-position model. The record is from RNAcentral.